RNAcentral lists this unclassified non-coding RNA (328 nucleotides) under uncultured fungus. RNAcentral's name for it is "partial contains 5.8S ribosomal RNA and internal transcribed spacer 2". The stretch from base 1 to 134 matches the Rfam family "5.8S ribosomal RNA", at positions 22 to 154 of the family's 154-position model. Lineage: Eukaryota; Fungi. The record is from RNAcentral.
UGGCUCUGGCAUNGAUGAAGAACGCAGCGAAAUGCGAUAAGUAAUGCGAAUUGCAGAUCUCUAGUGAGUCAUCGAAUCUUUGAACGCACAUUGCGCCCUCUAGUAUUCUGGAGGGCAUGCCUGUCCGAGCGUCACUACAAUACUCAAGCUCUGCUUGGCGUUGGGGUGCUGCGGUUCGCGCCGCAGGGCCCUCAAAAUCAGUGGCAGGACUGUUACGAGACCUGAGCGAAGUAAUAUUACAGCGCUUUGGGAUAUCGCAGCGGCUCCUAGCCCCAAUAUAUUUUAUAUUUCUAGUGUUGACCUCGGAUCAGGUAGGAAUACCCGCUGA